UAAGACAGAGGGGGCAAGCGUUGCUCGGAAUCACUGGGCGUAAAGGGCGCGUAGGCGGGAUGGCAAGUCGGUCGUGAAAUCCUUCGGCUCAACCGAAGAACGUCGGCCGAUACUGCCGUUCUUGAGGGAUGCAGAGGAGAUUGGAAUUCCCGGUGUAGCGGUGAAAUGUGUAGAGAUCGGGAGGAACACCGGUGGCGAAGGCGGGUCUCUGGGCAUCUCCUGACGCUGAGGCGCGAAAGCGUGGGGAGCAAACGGGAUUAGAUACCCCGGUAGUCCACGCUGUAAACGAUGGGCACUUGGUGUCGCGGGUAUCGACCCCUGCGGUGCCGAAGCUAACGCAUUAAGUGCCCCGCCUGGGGAGUACGGUCGCAAGGCUG
Molecule: ribosomal RNA, 377 nt
Filed under: uncultured bacterium
Lineage: Bacteria
Description: bacterial SSU rRNA
Rfam family: Bacterial small subunit ribosomal RNA
Source: RNAcentral